AAUUCGAUUGAGUUUGAUCAUGGCUCAGAACGAACGCUGGCGGCAGGCCUAACACAUGCAAGUCGAACGCCGUAGCAAUACGGAGUGGCAGACGGGUGAGUAACGCGUGGGAACAUACCCCUCGGUUCGGAAUAACUCAGGGAAACAUGAGCUAAUACCGGAUACGUCCGAGGUUUUAAUCGACCUCGGAGAAAGAUUUAUCGCCGGAGGAUUGGCCCGCGUCUGAUUAGCUUGUUGGUGAGGUCAUGGCUCACCAAGGCGACGAUCAGUAGCUGGUCUGAGAGGAUGAUCAGCCACAUUGGGACUGAGACACGGCCCAAACUCCUACGGGAGGCAGCAGUGGGGAAUAUUGGACAAUGGGCGAAAGCCUGAUCCAGCCAUGCCGCGUGAGUGAUGAAGGCCUUAGGGUUGUAAAGCUCUUUUACCCGGGAAGAUAAUGACGGUACCGGGAGAAUAAGCCCCGGCUAACUUCGUGCCAGCAGCCGCGGUAAUACGAAGGGGGCUAGCGUUGUUCGGAAUUACUGGGCGUAAAGCGCACGUAGGCGGAUCUUUAAGUCAGGGGUGAAAUCCCGAGGCUCAACCUCGGAACUGCCUUUGAUACUGGGGGAUAUAGAGUCCGGGAGAGGUGAGUGGAACUGCGGGUGUAGAGGUGAAAUUCGUAGAUAUUCGCAAGAACACCAGUGGCGAAGGCGGCUCACUGGCCCGGUACUGACGCUGAGGUGCGAAAGCGUGGGGAGCAAACAGGAUUAGAUA
RNAcentral lists this ribosomal RNA (753 nucleotides) under uncultured bacterium. RNAcentral describes it as "bacterial SSU rRNA". It matches the Rfam family "Bacterial small subunit ribosomal RNA", at positions 1 to 784 of the family's 1533-position model. The record is from RNAcentral.